GAUGAACGCUGGCGGCGUGCCUAAUACAUGCAAGUCGAGCGAACAGACGAGGAGCUUGCUCCUUUGACGUUAGCGGCGGACGGGUGAGUAACACGUAGGUAACCUACCUAUAAGACUGGGAUAACUUCGGGAAACCGGAGCUAAUACCGGAUAAUAUUUCGAACCGCAUGGUUCGAUAGUGAAAGAUGGCUUUGCUAUCACUUAUAGAUGGACCUGCGCCGUAUUAGCUAGUUGGUAAGGUAACGGCUUACCAAGGCAACGAUACGUAGCCGACCUGAGAGGGUGAUCGGCCACACUGGAACUGAGACACGGUCCAGACUCCUACGGGAGGCAGCAGUAGGGAAUCUUCCGCAAUGGGCGAAAGCCUGACGGAGCAACGCCGCGUGAGUGAUGAAGGUCUUCGGAUCGUAAAACUCUGUUAUUAGGGAAGAACAAACGUGUAAGUAACUGUGCACGUCUUGACGGUACCUAAUCAGAAAGCCACGGCUAACUACGUGCCAGCAGCCGCGGUAAUACGUAGGUGGCAAGCGUUAUCCGGAAUUAUUGGGCGUAAAGCGCGCGUAGGCGGUUUUUUAAGUCUGAUGUGAAAGCCCACGGCUCAACCGUGGAGGGUCAUUGGAAACUGGAAAACUUGAGUGCAGAAGAGGAAAGUGGAAUUCCAUGUGUAGCGGUGAAAUGCGCAGAGAUAUGGAGGAACACCAGUGGCGAAGGCGACUUUCUGGUCUGUAACUGACGCUGAUGUGCGAAAGCGUGGGGAUCAAACAGGAUUAGAUACCCUGGUAGUCCACGCCGUAAACGAUGAGUGCUAAGUGUUAGGGGGUUUCCGCCCCUUAGUGCUGCAGCUAACGCAUUAAGCACUCCGCCUGGGGAGUACGACCGCAAGGUUGAAACUCAAAGGAAUUGACGGGGACCCGCACAAGCGGUGGAGCAUGUGGUUU
Molecule: ribosomal RNA, 938 nt
Filed under: Staphylococcus hominis
Lineage: Bacteria; Bacillati; Bacillota; Bacilli; Caryophanales; Staphylococcaceae
Description: bacterial SSU rRNA
Rfam family: Bacterial small subunit ribosomal RNA
Source: RNAcentral